Molecule: ribosomal RNA, 497 nt
Filed under: uncultured bacterium
Lineage: Bacteria
Description: partial 16S ribosomal RNA
Rfam family: Bacterial small subunit ribosomal RNA
Source: RNAcentral
GACGAACGCUGGCGGCGUGCCUAAUACAUGCAAGUAGAACGCUGAAGAGAGGAGCUUGCUCUUCUUGGAUGAGUUGCGAACGGGUGAGUAACGCGUAGGUAACCUGCCUUGUAGCGGGGGAUAACUAUUGGAAACGAUAGCUAAUACCGCAUAACAAUGGCUGACACAUGUCAUUUAUUUGAAAGGGGCAAUUGCUCCACUACAAGAUGGACCUGCGUUGUAUUAGCUAGUAGGUGAGGUAAUGGCUCACCUAGGCGACGAUACAUAGGCGACCUGAGAGGGGGGAUGGCCCACAUGGGAACGGGGAAACGCCCAAGACUCUAACGGGAGGCGGAGGAGGGGAACUUUGGACAAGGGGGGAAACCCGGACCAGGAAAGCCGGGUGGGGGGAGGAGGUUCUCGGGUCGGUAAGCUCUGUUGUAAGUCAAGAACGGGUGUGAGAGUGGAAAGUUCACACUGUGACGGUAGCUUAACAGAAAGGGACGGCUAACUACGUG